GACAACGUGGCCGAGCGGUUAAGGCGAUUGACUAGAAUGGCCUUCUAAGACUCCUAUCGUCUACCAUCAAUUGGGAUUUUCCCGCGUAGGUUCAAAUCCUGCCGUUGUCG
Puccinia graminis f. sp. tritici is the source of this 110-nucleotide transfer RNA. It matches the Rfam family "tRNA". From Rfam's summary of the family: Transfer RNA (tRNA) molecules are approximately 80 nucleotides in length. Their secondary structure includes four short double-helical elements and three loops (D, anti-codon, and T loops). Further hydrogen bonds mediate the characteristic L-shaped molecular structure. tRNAs have two regions of fundamental functional importance: the anti-codon, which is responsible for specific mRNA codon recognition, and the 3' end, to which the tRNAs corresponding amino acid is attached (by aminoacyl-tRNA synthetases). tRNAs cope with the degeneracy of the genetic code in two manners: having more than one tRNA (with a specific anti-codon) for a particular amino acid; and 'wobble' base-pairing, i.e. permitting non-standard base-pairing at the 3rd anti-codon position. Lineage: Eukaryota; Fungi; Basidiomycota; Pucciniomycetes; Pucciniales; Pucciniaceae. The record is from Rfam.